UACGUAGGGUGCGAGCGUUAAUCGGAAUUACUGGGCGUAAAGCGUGCGCAGGCGGUGCUGUAAGACCGAUGUGAAAUCCCCGGGCCUAACCUGGGAACUGCAUUGGUGACUGCAGCGCUGGAGUAUGGCAGAGGGGGGUGGAAUUCCACGUGUAGCAGUGAAAUGCGUAGAGAUGUGGAGGAACACCGAUGGCGAAGGCAGCCCCUGGGCCAAUACUGACGCUCAUGCACGAAAGCGUGGGGAGCAAACAGG
RNAcentral lists this ribosomal RNA (252 nucleotides) under uncultured bacterium. Its description in RNAcentral is "partial 16S ribosomal RNA". It matches the Rfam family "Bacterial small subunit ribosomal RNA", at positions 524 to 776 of the family's 1533-position model. The record is from RNAcentral.